UCCCAAGUGGUCAAGUGGUUAGGAUAUCUGGCUUUCAUUCAGAAGGCCCGGUUUCGUUUCCCGGCGUGGGAA
Non-coding RNA from Cordylochernes scorpioides, 72 nucleotides. The record is from the annotation of a GenBank genome assembly. Lineage: Eukaryota; Metazoa; Arthropoda; Arachnida; Pseudoscorpiones; Chernetidae.